Solanum dulcamara is the source of this 1693-nucleotide long non-coding RNA. RefSeq lists it as uncharacterized. The record is from RefSeq and is a predicted model, not a curated record. Lineage: Eukaryota; Viridiplantae; Streptophyta; Magnoliopsida; Solanales; Solanaceae. The transcript is spliced from 2 exons.
CCCCUCGUUUCCCUUUCCAGAGAACCUCUCACCCUUUAUCAACUUAAAACGCCGCUUCAUCUACUCCUUCCUCCCAUUUUCAUACCAGUUUUCCUCAUAUACUCUACAAUUUAUUUUCCUAUUUUCCAACCGUAUUUUUCUGCUGGCAAUUUUAUUGCUUUUUAAAUUUGUUUCUCUCUCAGGUUUCUUCUUUUUUGGGGUUUUAAAUAUUGAGUUAACUAAUUGAUAAAGGUUAGAAUUGAUGAAAAAAAGUACCCAACUAAAUUCUUUUUUUUCAAUUUUAUAUGUUUUGUUCUCCUUUUUCAAUUCUAUAUGUUGUGAAGUAGAAUUGUUUCAUAAUUAAUUAGUAUUUGUCCUAUAACUUGCUUUCAAUACUUUCGUUUAUGUUCUUUACCGUAGGCAUAUUUAAGAACUAAAAAGAUUCUGAAUUUAUUAAAAUAAAAUUUGAAUUGUAUACUUCAGUGUUAUGUUAUAUGGAUUCUUCAUUAUCGAUUCCUCGUCUAUGUAAGAUUUGCAUAAAAUAUACUAUUUUUGAGGAAUUCGACACUCACCCUUAAAUAUUCUUUAAGAAUCCGAACAACAUACAUAGACCCAGUGGAAAUAUCUCAAUAUAUUCAGUGAAUCCACACCAUGCGAAGAAAAUUGAGGCCUCUAGAAUUUGUAUGCUAAUGACAUUUUUCUUUGAAUAAUAUGGUUGUAAAUUUCAAGGUUCAUAGGUUAAACAGUCUAACCUUCAAAUACUAUCUUUUUUGUAGUUUCUGUGUUCUUUACCAGUAUGAAUUAUGAAAGGUAAACUCUAUUUUACUUUUGCGUGUUGUUCUUCUUUCUGGUAGAGAUAGAUGUGUUGGUAGAGAACAUUUACUGUUACAGAACUUCAAUUCGUAGUUUCUGUGUUUCUUCACCCGUGUGAAUUAUGAAAGAUAAACUUUUUUUUUUUACUUUGGCGUGUUGUUUUUCUUUUGGUAGAGAUUGGUGUGUUGGUAGAGAACCUUUACUGCUAUAUAGAAUUUUAAAUUAUUAAACAUUAGACGGAAAUGAGAGCAGAAUGGAUGGUAAGAAUUCAUAAAACUGACACAAAUUAUCAAGACAAAUGUAACAUCCUUUAUUCGUUUUGUCUGAAAAGAGAAAGUGCAGGGGAGAUUGUGAUUACAAAUGAGCAAGAAGGUGACUAUUUUUUGACACUAUGCUUUAUUCAUGGGUUAAUGCAUGGAUGAUCCUUAGGAAAUAAACCAUCAGAUUUAAAUAAAGUAAAAGUUUCGCUACUGGCUAUCAAGAACAUAUGCUCGAAUUAGAUCCUUUGUGUUACUUGGCUUGUGUAAAAUUUCAUUGGCUUUGUCUAUCUAUAAAUUUGGACAAACUUAUACCUAUUAAAUUUAUGUCAUAAAUUCGAUAGUACUUUGUGCUUAGUUUUGCUAUAUUAGUAUAUCAAAUAUUCUAUGACGGCAUAACUAACAAGGAAAAGAAGUCAACGAUUGGGAUAUCGAUGGAUAACUCAAAAUUUCAAGUCGGUGGAGGGAAGUUUCUUUAGAGUGGUUACAGUUUUACGUUUUAUGGUUUAGUUCUGUUUGGAGCUUUUUGUAUUUGCUAUUGUGGUGAUGUUUGUUAUUUUUAGUUCGUAGAUUGUGCUGGAUGUAAAAAAAUAUGACAGCUUUGAAGGUUAUGUUAUGCCAUUUUAAUAAUGUUGUGCAUUACC